CCUACGGGAGGCAGCAGUGAGGAAUAUUGGUCAAUGGGCGCUAGCCUGAACCAGCCAAGUAGCGUGAAGGAUGACUGCCCUAUGGGUUGUAAACUUCUUUUAUAUGGGAAUAAAGUGCAGCAUGUAUGCUGCUUUGCAUGUACCUUAUAAAUAAGGAUCGGAUAACUCCGUGCCAGCAGCCGCGGUAAUACGGGGGAACCGAGCGUUUUUCGGAUUUAUUGGGGUUAAAGGGAGGGUAGGCGGGUUUUUAAGUAAGUUGUGAAAGUUUGCGGGUCAAACGUAAAAGUGCAGUUGAAACUGGCAUCCUUGAGUACAGUAGAGGUAGGCGGAAUUCGUGGUGUAGCGGUGAAAUGCUUAGAUAUCACGAAGAACUCCGAUUGCGAAGGCAGCCUGCUGGAGUGCAACUGACGCUGAUGCACGAAAGUGUGGGUAUCGAACAGGAUUAGAUACCCCUGUAGUC
RNAcentral lists this ribosomal RNA (460 nucleotides) under uncultured bacterium. Its description in RNAcentral is "partial 16S ribosomal RNA". It matches the Rfam family "Bacterial small subunit ribosomal RNA", at positions 338 to 795 of the family's 1533-position model. The record is from RNAcentral.